GUAAUAUACAGAGCCUUUAGAGUUACUGGCUUCAGCUCCAUCACAACAUCCUGACAUGUGUUGGUGGUGUCUUGACUGAACCAUGCUGGUGUACACUGAAUUGGAGAGUCAGGUUAAAAAACCCCAAACAACACAACAAAUGAGCUAACGAAAACCAACUCAAACAAAUGACUUUUCUUGAGAAGCUCUAUUUUAAUGUAUGUUUCACAAACAUAGCACAGAAUGAGGAGCAAAGUUUAUUUUCUCUACAACUUUGUAUCACCUGAAAGUUUUAUAUCUCAGAUUUUUAAGUCUUUCCAUCACUGAUGGCAUUAUAAAAUAUUGGUAUAGUGUAUUUUGGGUUUUUGAAUUAGUUUACUUCGCUUGUUUCUUAAAUGGCAAUCCAGAGAAGAGUUAAAGGAGCACAUGGAAAACUACAGAACUGCUACCACCCUUUUGUUUUUAUUUCGUGAUCAAGUAUUCAAAGCCAGACAUCAGCUGAGUGGCCAUCAAAAAUCCAUCAUGAGGAAACAGCAAACCCACAAAUGAAAGAGAGGAAGAGAAGAAGCCUGAAGAUAAUCCUGUGUUUUUCGACACAAAAGCAACUUGAAAGAAGGAUUCAAGCUAAUUUAAAUGCAGUAUGUACAGUAGAUAUGAUCUGUAUUAUAGCAAAACUUGCUAUUUUGUUUCUUAAUGGCAGAAUAUUUGGUGAUUUGGCACAUUUAUUUAUUUGCUGAUUUACUUACAUAUUUUUAUACAAAAGUUGCUCUUAGAUAGCCUGAACAAAAAUUAAAA
Molecule: non-coding RNA, 774 nt
Organism: Sturnus vulgaris (Common starling)
Lineage: Eukaryota; Metazoa; Chordata; Aves; Passeriformes; Sturnidae
Source: RefSeq, a predicted model, not a curated record